GAUGAACGCUGGCGGCGUGCCUAAUACAUGCAAGUCGAGCGAAUGGAUUAAGAGCUUGCUCUUAUGAAGUUAGCGGCGGACGGGUGAGUAACACGUGAGUAACCUGCCCAUAAGACUGGGAUAACUCCGGGAAACCGGGGCUAAUACCGGAUAAUAUUUUGAACUGCAUGGUUCAAAAUUGAAAGGCGGCUUCGGCUGUCACUUAUGGAUGGACCCGCGUCGCAUUAGCUAGUUGGUGAGGUAACGGCUCACCAAGGCAACGAUGCGUAGCCGGCCUGAGAGGGUGAUCGGGCACACUGGGACUGAGACACGGCCCAGAGUCCUACGGGAGGCAGCAGAAGUGAAUCGACCGCAAUGGGCGAAAGUCUGACGGAGCAACGCCGCGUGAGUGAUGAAGGCUUUCGGAUCGUAAAACUCUGUUGUUAGGGAAGAACAAGUGCUAGUUGAAUAAGCUGGCACCUUGACGGUACCUAACCAGAAAGCCACGGCUAACUACGUGCCAGCCGCCGCGGUAA
RNAcentral lists this ribosomal RNA (515 nucleotides) under uncultured bacterium. RNAcentral's name for it is "partial 16S ribosomal RNA". It matches the Rfam family "Bacterial small subunit ribosomal RNA", at positions 28 to 523 of the family's 1533-position model. The record is from RNAcentral.